Molecule: ribosomal RNA, 420 nt
Filed under: Scyllarus subarctus
Lineage: Eukaryota; Metazoa; Arthropoda; Malacostraca; Decapoda; Scyllaridae
Description: partial 16S ribosomal RNA
Rfam family: Bacterial large subunit ribosomal RNA
Source: RNAcentral
CGGUAUAUUGACCGUGCGAAGGUAGCAUAAUAAUUAGUCUUUUAAUUGAAGACUGGAAUGAAAGGUUGAACAAGAAGUUAGCUGUCUCUAAAUUAAAUUUUGAAUUUAACAUUUAAGUGAAAAGGCUUAAAUAUUUUAAAGGGACGAUAAGACCCUAUAAAUCUUUAUACUUGAUUUUAUAGAGCAAAAUAUUAAAAUAAUUUUUGUUCAAUAGGUUUGGGUAUUUUGUUGGGGCGACAGGAGUAUAAAAUGUAACUGCUCUAAAAUGAUAGUUAGUUGAUAUUUAGUUAAGUGAUCCUUUAAUAAAGAUGUUAGUUUAAGUUACUUUAGGGAUAACAGCGUAAUUUUUUUUGAGAGUCCGUAUCGAAAAAAAAGUUUGCGACCUCGAUGUUGAAUUAAAGAUCCUUUACGGUGCAGAAG